UCAAGAAAGAAUAUUAAAAUGGCGUCUUCCAAAGUAUCUUCCAUGCUUCUCUUUCUCUUUCUUCUCGUUCUUGUGUUUCACCAAAUGGAUAAAGCCCUUGGUGAACAAAUCCAGCUCAGCAACCGCAAACUUAGUUAGUCUUUUACUCUUUUUUUGUAUUUAAAUAAUGUCAGCGUUUUUAUUUUAGGGAAAUUACCUAUAAUAACAUACAUUUUGUGUGUAAUGACUAGAUUAACAUACAAAAACGAAAAAAAGAAAGAAAAAGUGGGUUAAAGUCCAAAAUGCCCAAUCCAUUAACUUAAUUAAGCCAAUUUAAAAAAUAAAUACUCCUAAAGCACAAGUAAAAAUACAGUUAUAUUGACAAAAAUAAAAGGUAAAAGCUUAAAAAAUAAAAAAGUAAACCCAACGACAACUCUCUUUCCUAUGACCCCAAGAACCCUAAAUCCCCAAAUUGUGAAAUCCUCAAACUCUUGAUUCUCUUUCUUUUUAACAUGAUUCCUCAUCGAUUCAGUCAUGUCCCCCUCUCUACUCUACCAUUAAAACAUUCGAUUCACAUAGGAUAAUGAAUCCGAAACCCAGUCGACGAACCCUAAAUCCCCUUUCUGAAAUUCACAUUUCCGUCGAUCUCAAGCCUUUCAUCACUUAUUCUCGUUGAUUUCCACACUAUUAUAAGCUCAUAUCCGCUUCAAUCAGUUUAUUUCAUCAAUUCGUGCAAUCAAAGGUUAGUCUCUGUCAUUCGAUUUUUAUUUAUUUAUUUUUGGAAAUCAAUGAAUUCCAUUUUCUUCAUCACAGAGUUCAUAUUAGUGUUUUUCGUCUUUACAUAUGUCGAUAUCAGUUUGGGUGUUGUUGUUGUUGUUCAGGUUUUAAGGAAUCACUGUUCUUCUUGUUUUGUUCACUUUACUCUUUACAAUGCAGAAGCAAUCUUCUGGAAAUAUACAAUCUAUCUUUGGACCACCAAGGAAUCGUUGGACAGUAUCAUCAUAGUUUUUUUUUUUUUGGAAAAGGCUGCAAGUUCCAUUGAAUACUGAUGAUGUCUCUGGUAUGGUGCGUCUUGUAAAAAUGAAUGCGUAGAGAAAUAUAGGAGGUUUUUUUCAGACACUGGUGAGAUGUUCCUGCAAGGCUGAGGAAAAAAAGUUCACAUCAGCUAAAGAUUUCAAAACUCAAAAGUGUGCCUAGAAUGAGGAUCCUGGUGACUGUGGUGUUUAAGCCGUGAAGUAUAUUGAGUGUAAGGCGAUUGGUUGCGGUUUUGAGGACUUUCUGACUGGUGCAUCCCGACAACGCGUAUUAAGUUUGCUGCUGAGAUCUAUGAUGAGGUUGCGGAUAUGUAGUUGUAUUUCAUCUUUUAGAAACCAAACUUAUUUACUACUUUGUGGAAUUGUGAAAAUAUCUUUAUUUUCUUGUCCAAUGGUUAAUGUUACUUUACUUUGAAAGAGUCCUUGAAAGGGAUAUCAGAAAAGAGUAAUGCAUA
Long non-coding RNA from Brassica oleracea var. oleracea, 1468 nucleotides. RefSeq lists it as uncharacterized. The transcript has 2 exons. Lineage: Eukaryota; Viridiplantae; Streptophyta; Magnoliopsida; Brassicales; Brassicaceae. The record is from RefSeq and is a predicted model, not a curated record.